CGGUGGUUCUCUGAAGUGAUUUAUUCACAGGACUGGAGAGUUGGGAACUAUCGGGUUCCCUUUCACCACCUGAAAACAGCACCCCCAUUUCUCUGAGCUGGGCAGGCAAACAGCUCCUUGCUGGGCUGAGGGGAAAAAAAAAUACUUGACUCCUACCUGUUGUGGUGCUGGAGAAGUCCUGAGCACACAGGGCUGCGAGCCUGCCCAUGCAGCCUGCCGUCUGCUGCAAAGGCAAGACUUAGCUGUACAGCCAAACUAGAGGUGGAGGUACUGAUGCAGGAGGCUUGGAAACUCACUCAGCAUGGACGUCACACAUAGUCAGAAUGUGUGGCCACUGGAACUCAACAGGCAUUUUAACCCCCAGGACUUGAGACUUUUCAUGACAGUGAGACACAUCUACUUCUGGCAGCACCGAUCUACUUCAAGUAGAAGAUGGGUAUAAAGGAGGCUCUUUAUGGACUUUGCUUGCCUUUUCAGCAAGAAACUUCUCUUGCCUAGACUGCUUGAUGUCAUGCUUUUUGAACUGGACAUGCAGGACCCACAUAAAAAUGACUGCUGAACUUGCCUAAAGGUCUCUGCAGCUGGGAAUGAACAAUCAGCCUCCAUCAACAGGUCUCUGUGCCUUUGAGGCCAGCCUGCUCUACAGAGCAAGUUCCAGGACAGGCACCAAAGCUACACAGAGAAACCCUGUCUCAAAAAAC
Long non-coding RNA from Alexandromys fortis (reed vole), 701 nucleotides. RefSeq lists it as uncharacterized. The transcript has 3 exons. Lineage: Eukaryota; Metazoa; Chordata; Mammalia; Rodentia; Cricetidae. The record is from RefSeq and is a predicted model, not a curated record.